CAAUAAGCGGAGGAAAAGAAACCAACAGGGAUUGCCCCAGUAACGGCGAGUGAAGCGGCAACAGCUCAAAUUUGAAAUCUGGCCCCAGGCCCGAGUUGUAAUUUGCAGAGGAUGCUUUUGGCGCGGUGCCUUCCGAGUUCCCUGGAACGGGACGCCAUAGAGGGUGAGAGCCCCGUACGGUUGGACACCAAGCCUCUGUAAAGCUCCUUCGACGAGUCGAGUAGUUUGGGAAUGCUGCUCAAAAUGGGAGGUAUAUUUCUUCUAAAGCUAAAUAUUGGCCAGAGACCGAUAGCGCACAAGUAGAGUGAUCGAAAGAUGAAAAGCACUUUGAAAAGAGGGUUAAACAGCACGUGAAAUUGUUAAAAGGGAAGCGCUUGUGACCAGACUUGCGCCCGGUGAAUCACCCAGCUCUCGCGGCUGGGGCACUUCGCCGGCACAGGCCAGCAUCAGCUCGCCGUCGGGGACAAAAGCUUGGGGAACGUAGCUCUCUUCGGGGAGUGUUAUAGCCCCUUGCAUAAUACCCUUCGGCGGGCUGAGGUACGCGUUCGCAAGGAUGCUGGCGUAAUGG
RNAcentral lists this ribosomal RNA (568 nucleotides) under Colletotrichum falcatum. RNAcentral's name for it is "LSU rRNA". It matches the Rfam family "Eukaryotic large subunit ribosomal RNA", at positions 44 to 637 of the family's 3401-position model. The record is from RNAcentral. Lineage: Eukaryota; Fungi; Ascomycota; Sordariomycetes; Glomerellales; Glomerellaceae.